Molecule: long non-coding RNA, 188 nt
Organism: Bactrocera tryoni
Lineage: Eukaryota; Metazoa; Arthropoda; Insecta; Diptera; Tephritidae
Exons: 2
Source: RefSeq, a predicted model, not a curated record
GCUCAUUGGUAUCCGAUGAAUGUGCUCAACAUUUUGCUUGGAGUGGAACGUCAGACAAAAAACCUGUCCGCGUCUUAAAAGUAUCUAUGGCUAUCCGAGAUGUCUUCUUACAUGAAGUGAAGGGCAAUGACACUGAAUAUAUAAGUGGCACCAAGACGAUUUUUCAGUUUGCCAAAAAUAGACAAAAA